This 492-nucleotide ribosomal RNA is filed under the name uncultured bacterium. Its description in RNAcentral is "partial 16S ribosomal RNA". It matches the Rfam family "Bacterial small subunit ribosomal RNA", at positions 29 to 507 of the family's 1533-position model. The record is from RNAcentral.
AGUGAACGCUGGCGGUAGGCCUAACACAUGCAAGUCGAACGGCAGCACAGUAAGAGCUUGCUCUUACGGGUGGCGAGUGGCGGACGGGUGAGGAAUACAUCGGAAUCUACUUUUUCGUGGGGGAUAACGUAGGGAAACUUACGCUAAUACCGCAUACGACCUACGGGUGAAAGCAGGGGAUCUUCGGACCUUGCGCGAUUGAAUGAGCCGAUGUCGGAUUAGCUAGUUGGCGGGGUAAAGGCCCACCAAGGCGACGAUCCGUAGCUGGUCUGAGAGGAUGAUCAGCGACACUGGAACUGAGACACGGUCCAGACUCCGACGGGAGGCAGCAGUGGGGAAUAUUGGACAAUGGGCGCAAGCCUGAUCCAGCCAUACCGCGUGGGUGAAGAAGGCCUUCGGGUUGUAAAGCCCUUUUGUUGGGAAAGAAAAGCAGCAGGUUAAUACCCCGCUGUUCUGACGGUACCCAAAGAAUAAGCACCGGCUAACUUCGUG